This 573-nucleotide ribosomal RNA is filed under the name Fictibacillus sp. RNAcentral describes it as "bacterial SSU rRNA". It matches the Rfam family "Bacterial small subunit ribosomal RNA", at positions 45 to 598 of the family's 1533-position model. Lineage: Bacteria; Bacillati; Bacillota; Bacilli; Caryophanales; Fictibacillaceae. The record is from RNAcentral.
UGCCUAAUACAUGCAAGUCGAGCGAAUGAUGAGGAGCUUGCUCCUCUGAUUUAGCGGCGGACGGGUGAGUAACACGUGGGUAAUCUGCCUGUAAGACGGGGAUAACUCCGGGAAACCGGGGCUAAUACCGGAUAAUAAGAGAAGAAGCAUUUCUUCUUUUUGAAAGUCGGUUUCGGCUGACACUUACAGAUGAGCCCGCGGCGCAUUAGCUAGUUGGUGAGGUAACGGCUCACCAAGGCGACGAUGCGUAGCCGACCUGAGAGGGUGAUCGGCCACACUGGGACUGAGACACGGCCCAGACUCCUACGGGAGGCAGCAGUAGGGAAUCUUCGGCAAUGGGCGAAAGCCUGACCGAGCAACGCCGCGUGAGCGAUGAAGGCCUUCGGGUCGUAAAGCUCUGUUGUUAGAGAAGAACAAGUACGAGAGUAACUGCUCGUACCUUGACGGUACCUAACCAGAAAGCCACGGCUAACUACGUGCCAGCACCGCGGUGAUACGUACGUGGCAAGCGUUAUCCGGAAAUAUUGGGGGGUAAAGCGCGCGGGAGGGGGGCCCUCUUAAGUCUGAUGUGAA